This 119-nucleotide ribosomal RNA is filed under the name Escherichia coli. RNAcentral's name for it is "partial 16S ribosomal RNA". It matches the Rfam family "Bacterial small subunit ribosomal RNA", at positions 1 to 110 of the family's 1533-position model. Lineage: Bacteria; Pseudomonadati; Pseudomonadota; Gammaproteobacteria; Enterobacterales; Enterobacteriaceae. The record is from RNAcentral.
UUAAAUUGAAGAGUUUGAUCAUGGCUCAGAUUGAAUGCUGGCGGCAGGCCUAACACAUGCAAGUCGAACGGUAACAGGAAACAGCUUGCUGUUUCGCUGACGAGUGGCGGACGGGUGAG